RNAcentral lists this ribosomal RNA (117 nucleotides) under Armatimonadota bacterium. Lineage: Bacteria; Bacillati; Armatimonadota. The record is from RNAcentral.
UACGGUGGCCAGAGCGCGGAGGUCACACCCGUUCCCAUUCCGCACACGGUCGUUAAGCUCCGCUGCGCCGAUGAUACUGGAGGGGCAACUCUUUGGGAAAGUAGGGCGCCGCCGUAU